AGAGUUUGAUCCUGGCUCAGAAUCAACGCUGGCGGCGUGCCUAACACAUGCAAGUCGAACGAGAAAGUGGAGCAAUCCAUGAGUAAAGUGGCGACCGGGUGAGUAACACGUGACCAAUCUACCCUUGAGUGGGGGAUAACCUCGGGAAACCGGGGCUAAUACCGCAUAAUAUCCUUGGAACGGAAGUACUGGGGAUCAAAGGAGCAAUUCGCUUAAGGAGGAGGUCGCGGCUGAUUAGCUAGUUGGCGGGGUAAUGGCCCACCAAGGCAAAGAUCGGUAGCCGGCCUGAGAGGGCGCACGGCCACACUGGAACUGAAACACGGUCCAGACUCCUACGGGAGGCAGCAGUGGGGAAUUUUGCGCAAUGGGGGAAACCCUGACGCAGCAACGCCGCGUGGAGGA
Molecule: ribosomal RNA, 402 nt
Filed under: uncultured bacterium
Lineage: Bacteria
Description: bacterial SSU rRNA
Rfam family: Bacterial small subunit ribosomal RNA
Source: RNAcentral